Molecule: non-coding RNA, 550 nt
Organism: Rhinichthys klamathensis goyatoka
Lineage: Eukaryota; Metazoa; Chordata; Actinopteri; Cypriniformes; Leuciscidae
Source: the annotation of a RefSeq genome assembly
CCGGUCAGGACUGUAAACAGCAGGUCUCGUCUGUUCUCACUCAUUCUCAGCAAAGAUGACUGCAAACGCUCUGAUUAUCUGCUCUCUACUGCUUUCUCUCGCUGGUUGUUUUGCUGAGAUCAUUCUGACUCAGAGUCCAUCCGUGAAUCUGGCGUCUGUGGGAAGCAGCGUCACUCUCAACUGCGGGUCCAGCAGUUCUAGUUUAACAGCCCAUUUAGCCUGGUAUCACCAGAGACCCGGACAAACACCCAAACUCCUGUUUUAUAGUGUUGGUAGCAAAGUGUCUGAAGUUUCUGAGAGAUUCACUGAUGGGAGAUCAGGAACAAACUUCAUGCUCAAUAUUAGAAAUGUCCAGCCUGAAGAUGCAGGAGAUUAUUACUGUCAGCAGUAUUAUGAAUUACCAUUAACACAGUGAUACACAGCCGUACAAAAACCCCUUCAGUGAAAGAGGAACUGCUGAUUUAGACACACACUGCACACAUAAUACACUCAGUAGGAGCCGGUUUUUAAAGUUCUGAACAGAAAAACUAAAUCUGGGGCCAGAUUCACA